AUGCUGGGUACAAUUAGCAGGACGGUGCCCCCACCACCACGUCAGAACCCACAGCUCCUCCGACAUUCAUCUUCCUGGGAAAGCCACCCACCAAGAGGCUGGCUUCAAAGCCUGCCUGCGAGCCACGUCAAAACAUCAGUUUGAUCCUGUUAAAUGGGCCAUCUUCUCCUGCGUAUGAAUCAAGAGGAGAUUGCAAAUAGAUUAUAAAAAAGCAUCCUGUUAGACUGUCACUCUUCUGCAAGCACUCAAGAGUGUUGUGGUUUGAGUUAGCAGACCUGAGAACACGGAGCAAAAACAGUCCUUUCAGAGGAUCACCGCAGCACAGACCUGCAGCAGAGCUUGCUCAGUGUUAGGUGUCUGUUGUGUUUGCUUCCCUGCAGUUACAGCCUCUUACGAUGUGACAUGUUGCUGCUACACCAUGAAUUACUUUUCUAUAAAGUUAGCAUAAAAAUAAAAGAUAUAACACGUCAUUCUCACACUGGUAAGAUUACUUACUAAGUGUGAACAUAACCUGCUUAUGCAACCAGUGCUUAAUUGCAGAGUGCUGCAAGGUUGACCAAGAACCUAAGCCUGCACGGAGGGCCCUGCUCCCUGGCUCAGCACCCAGUUCCAGGGAGUGAGACUUAACCUCUCCCUCACCUCCUCUGCCCCAGCCCAGCAGUUGCAAUUAGACAACUGAGAAGACUAUUGUUUUAACAGGGAGCAAGUUUGGGCAUUUAGAGAUGAGAAGAUAUAGCUUCCACUCGCUCUAGAAUUAUUGGUAACCAAAGACCACGCACACGCACUGA
Cygnus olor (mute swan) is the source of this 788-nucleotide long non-coding RNA. RefSeq lists it as uncharacterized. The transcript has 3 exons. The record is from RefSeq and is a predicted model, not a curated record. NCBI's taxonomy places the organism in Eukaryota, Metazoa, Chordata, Aves, Anseriformes, Anatidae.